Phrynosoma platyrhinos (Desert horned lizard) is the source of this 71-nucleotide non-coding RNA. Lineage: Eukaryota; Metazoa; Chordata; Lepidosauria; Squamata; Phrynosomatidae. The record is from the annotation of a GenBank genome assembly.
GCGUGGUGGCAUAGUGGUUUGAGCAUUGGAUUACAACUCUGGAGACCAGGGUUCGAAUCCAUGGAAACUCA